Molecule: long non-coding RNA, 1467 nt
Filed under: Oryctolagus cuniculus (rabbit)
Lineage: Eukaryota; Metazoa; Chordata; Mammalia; Lagomorpha; Leporidae
Description: lncRNA (ENSOCUG00000031880.1)
Source: RNAcentral
GUUGUCCUCAGCAUGUUCAGACCAGAGCUUAGGCAACUCGGUCCUUGGGUUCUUCCAGGAGAGUCGAAUUGGACAGAGAAAACUGUGGAUUAUGGACCAUUAGGGGCCCGAAGACCUUGAGAAAGUCUUGAAAGGAAGUUUCUAAAUUAAAGCAUCAAAUUUACUAAGAAAGUUGGGUUUUCUUUGGGGGUGUAAUGGAUGCCCAUGCUUGUGUGUUUUACAGUACCCUAGGAAUGAAAUGUUUAUCAAAUUUUAAUUCUGAGGAGAAAAAUUAAGGUAUUGGGCACUACCAUAGGCAAAUGUUUUUUAUGCAAGAGUCACUUAAACAAGAUCAUUUGAAGUAAGGUCAUUUGUUUUAAAUUCUUGAAAAAAAAAAAAAACUACCUCAAAUACAGUAGGGAGAUAUAGUACUCAAGGAUUCUAAUUUUGAACCUGGCCUUCCAUGUUGUUAUAUGUGUGUUUGCUAUCAAUUAGGUGUGACAAGGGAGGAGAAUAAAACUUUUUUAUCCAACAGGUGGUUAGCUUGACUUAUACUCUUACGUAUUUAGACAUGUGGCGUGUCUUUUUGUAUUCUUGCCCUAGGCUGUAAAGUUGUGAUAAGCAGGCCUGCUGCUACUAGCCCAUUUUCCUCAGUUCCUAAUCUGAACCCAGUAUGGCCAAACAGAACAAAACAAGAAUGUGGAGACAGCAGCAGGGUCCUCAAGGUUAACACACACGAAAGAGCAAUGCUGUUAGAGGAGCAGAGAAACUUGGGAAAACUCUGCGGUAUGAAAUAAAAGCAAGGCACUCUCCAUUAACAGCUGGUGGAUUCCUGAUUUCUGCCCACAGGACGAUGUUCACACUGAGAGAGCUCUCCCACAAGGGGAAGAAUCACCUGCUUUAAUACUAGUCCUCUCUGAGCUAGUGUAGUCACCCACUCUGUAUAAAUUUGUGUGUCAACAUUAAGACAAAAAUAAGAGAGUUGAAUUGAUAGAUAAUUUGGGAGGCUCUCAUAGUUGUAAUAACUAUGGAAGACAGAAGAAUACUGGCUAUAAUCUUUUUUUCAGCACUAGUGUCUGGACCUAUAACUAAAUAAGCUUUUUCAUUCCUUCCAACCAAAAGAUUCAACAGCUAAAAAGUCAUUUCCUUAAAUCUGAUAAGUGUAAAAAAGAAAAAGUAACAGCAUUUCUCUAGGGCUCUGGGGUUUUCUGUUUUGUUUUGAUUUGCUUUUCCUUUAGAGACAUGACAAAAACAAGGAUUAACUUUCUAAAUACUAAUGGUGCACAAGAAGGUUAUGUAUGCACAGUAUUUCUAAUUUAUUCAAAUUCAAUUUGAAUUUGGUCUGAAGCUAUCUUGUAUGAAAUGUUAGCUUUCCUGAUAUUUAAUAAUGUUUAUUAUGUUUGCAUAUAAGCUCAGAAAAUUAAUGCAAAAGUAUUACUUUGCUCAUGGUUACCUUUAGGUAAAAUGUAAAUAUUAGUGGUUAUGUUU